GAGGGUAUAGCUCAGUGGUAGAGUACAUGCCUAGCAUGCACAAGGUCCUGGGUUCAAUUCCGAGUACCUCCA
Molecule: transfer RNA, 72 nt
Filed under: Camelus bactrianus (Bactrian camel)
Lineage: Eukaryota; Metazoa; Chordata; Mammalia; Artiodactyla; Camelidae
Also listed under: 2 other names
Rfam family: tRNA
About the family: Transfer RNA (tRNA) molecules are approximately 80 nucleotides in length.
Source: Rfam by way of RNAcentral